Molecule: ribosomal RNA, 366 nt
Filed under: uncultured bacterium
Lineage: Bacteria
Description: bacterial SSU rRNA
Rfam family: Bacterial small subunit ribosomal RNA
Source: RNAcentral
GGGGACAGAAGUGACAGGUGGUGCAUGGUUGUCGUCAGCUCGUGUCGUGAGAUGUUGGGUUAAGUCCCGCAACGAGCGCAACCCUUGCCUUUAUUGCCAGCAUUAAGUUGGGCACUCUAGAGGGACUGCCAGGGAUAACCUGGAGGAAGGUGGGGAUGACGUCAAAUCAUCAUGCCCCUUAUGCUUAGGGCUACACACGUGCUACAAUGGGUGGUACAGAGGGCAGCCAAGUCGUGAGGCCGAGCUAAUCCCUUAAAGCCAUUCUCAGUUCGGAUUGUAGGCUGAAACUCGCCUACAUGAAGCUGGAGUUACUAGUAAUCGCAGAUCAGAAUGCUGCGGUGAAUGCGUUCCCGGGUCUUGUACACA